CCCUCUGAGCAUAUGUAACGCCGCCCGAAACAUCGUCGAUUCAGACGAGUCCGCCACGAUUAAAUGCGAGCAACUUCGCAUCACUCCCGUUUUAUGAAAUGUGUUUGUUCUUAUAAUAUUUUUGUGGGUGAAAUUAGAUUGGACUUGGAAUAUUUUUCGAUGUUUGAAUUGAAUUAUUUGAACUUGUGGUGUUUUGUGUGGAAAAUAUUAAUUAUUUAUAAACUCAAGUUGGAGUUUGUUUUAUUUC
Molecule: non-coding RNA, 247 nt
Organism: Cinara cedri
Lineage: Eukaryota; Metazoa; Arthropoda; Insecta; Hemiptera; Aphididae
Source: the annotation of a GenBank genome assembly